Molecule: ribosomal RNA, 460 nt
Filed under: uncultured bacterium
Lineage: Bacteria
Description: partial 16S ribosomal RNA
Rfam family: Bacterial small subunit ribosomal RNA
Source: RNAcentral
CCUACGGGGGGCAGCAGUGAGGAAUAUUGGUCAAUGGACGAGAGUCUGAACCAGCCAAGUAGCGUGAAGGAUGACGGCUCUAUGGUUUGUAAACUUCUUUUAUAUGGGAAUAAAACGUUCCACGUGUGGCUUUUUGUAUGUACCCUAUGAAUAAGCAUCGGCUAACUCCGUGCCAGCAGCCGCGGUAAUACGGAGGAUCCGAGCGUUAUCCGGAUUUAUUGGGUUUAAAGGGAGCGUAGGUGGAUUGUUAAGUCAGUGGUGAAAGUUUGCGGCUCAACCGUAAAAUUGCAGUUGAAACUGGCAGUCUUGAGUACAGUAGAGGUAGGCGGAAUGCGUGGUGUAGCGGUGAAAUGCUUAGAUAUCACGAAGAACUCCGAUUGCGAAGGCAGUUCACUGGACUGCAACUGACACUGAGGCUCGAAAGUGUGGGUAUCAAACAGGAGUAGAUACCCGGGUAGUC